AACGAACGCUGGCGGCAGGCCUAACACAUGCAAGUCGAACGCCCUAGCAAUAGGGAGUGGCAGACGGGUGAGUAACGCGUGGGAACGUACCCUUCGGUUCGGAAUAACUCAGGGAAACUUGAGCUAAUACCGGAUACGUGCGAGAGCAGAAAGAUUUAUCGCCGAAGGAUCGGCCCGCGUCCGAUUAGCUAGUUGGUGAGGUAAUAGCUCACCAAGGCGACGAUCGGUAGCUGGUCUGAGAGGAUGACCAGCCACACUGGGACUGAGACACGGCCCAGACUCCUACGGGAGGCAGCAGUGGGGAAUAUUGGACAAUGGGCGCAAGCCUGAUCCAGCCAUGCCGCGUGAGUGAUGAAGGCCCUAGGGUUGUAAAGCUCUUUCGCCAGGGACGAUAAUGACGGUACCUGGAUAAGAAGCCCCGGCUAACUUCGUGCCAGCCGCCGCGGUAA
RNAcentral lists this ribosomal RNA (449 nucleotides) under uncultured bacterium. Its description in RNAcentral is "partial 16S ribosomal RNA". It matches the Rfam family "Bacterial small subunit ribosomal RNA", at positions 29 to 523 of the family's 1533-position model. The record is from RNAcentral.